GGGGGGGACGGUGUCGGAAUAUUGGGCGUAAGGGCUCGCAGGCGGUUUCUUAAGUCUGAUGUGAAAGCCCCCGGCUCAACCGGGGAGGGUCAUUGGAAACUGGGGAACUUGAGUGCAGAAGAGGAGAGUGGAAUUCCACGUGUAGCGGUGAAAUGCGUAGAGAUGUGGAGGAACACCAGUGGCGAAGGCGACUCUCUGGUCUGUAACUGACGCUGAGGAGCGAAAGCGUGGGGAGCGAACAGGAUUAGAUACCCUGGUAGUCCACGCCGUAAACGAUGAGUGCUAAGUGUUAGGGGGUUUCCGCCCCUUAGUGCUGCAGCUAACGCAUUAAGCACUCCGCCUGGGGAGUACGGUCGCAAGACUGAAACUCAAAGGAAUUGACGGGGGCCCGCACAAGCGGUGGAGCAUGUGGUUUAAUUCGAAGCAACGCGAAGAACCUUACCAGGUCUUGACAUCCUCUGACAAUCCUAGAGAUAGGACGUCCCCUUCGGGGGCAGAGUGACAGGUGGUGCAUGGUUGUCGUCAGCUCGUGUCGUGAGAUGUUGGGUUAAGUCCCGCAACGAGCGCAACCCUUGAUCUUAGUUGCCAGCAUUCAGUUGGGCACUCUAAGGUGACUGCCGGUGACAAACCGGAGGAAGGUGGGGAUGACGUCAAAUCAUCAUGCCCCUUAUGACCUGGGCUACACACGUGCUACAAUGGACAGAACAAAGGGCAGCGAAACCGCGAGGUUAAGCCAAUCCCACAAAUCUGUUCUCAGUUCGGAUCGCAGUCUGCAACUCGACUGCGUGAAGCUGGAAUCGCUAGUAAUCGCGGAUCAGCAUGCCGCGGUGGAAUACGUUUCCCGGGCCUUGUACACACCGCCCGUCACACCACGAGAGUUUGUAACACCCGAAGUCGGUGAGGUAACCUUUUAGGAGCCAGCCGCCGAAGGUGGGACAGAUGAUUGGGGUGAAUCUAAAAAGGAAACCCCACAUAUAUAAACCGGGAGAAAUAGGAGCGAUUGCUUUCGGAGCGCGAGGGGGAAACAGGGUAAAGG
RNAcentral lists this ribosomal RNA (1036 nucleotides) under Bacillus tequilensis. RNAcentral describes it as "bacterial SSU rRNA". It matches the Rfam family "Bacterial small subunit ribosomal RNA", at positions 531 to 1533 of the family's 1533-position model. Lineage: Bacteria; Bacillati; Bacillota; Bacilli; Caryophanales; Bacillaceae. The record is from RNAcentral.